This 316-nucleotide unclassified non-coding RNA is filed under the name fungal sp. Its description in RNAcentral is "partial internal transcribed spacer region". The stretch from base 1 to 46 matches the Rfam family "Eukaryotic small subunit ribosomal RNA", at positions 1786 to 1831 of the family's 1831-position model. Lineage: Eukaryota; Fungi. The record is from RNAcentral.
AAGUCGUAACAAGGUCUCCGUAGGUGAACCUGCGGAGGGAUCAUUAACACGUUUAUUUCACUAUAAACGUAUCUAUACCAAACAAAUAGAAACUGGAGUAGAAAGUAUAUAUAUAUGUCAUGCGUAUAUAUAUAUUGAUACUUCGUCCCCUCUCCCUAUGUAGUGAUUGUUUACUAUGUAGGCUAUUUCUGUCUAUAAACCCAUUUCCAACUUUCGUUUGUAACUUGACUUAUAUGUGAGUAUACUGUUCGUAUACUACUACAUUGAUAUACUAAUGUUAAAAGCACAACUCUUAGCAACGGAUAUCUUGGUUCUG